AAGUUUACCUGGAUUGCAGGCUGCAUGGUCAUCCACACUGAGACGAAACUUCUAUUCUGGAGAAGGAAGACGGCAUUAGAUGGGUGCCAGAGUGACUGCUCCCCCAAACCCCAAACAUAGGACGAGGCACGCGAUUUCCUGCCUCUUCGUCAGAUCUGAGCCCUUCCCGUCUAGUCAGAGUAAAUACAAUGAGAACUGGGAGGUGACUCCUCACUUCUACCCGCGUAAGGGCGCCUGCUACUUGGUCCAGAAAGGCCUGAAACACUUUGGUGCACCAUCCCUGGUGUCACACAGAAUUCAUGGCACAUGUGUCUUUUCCUGUGUAAAAUAAUGUGAAAGGAUGUAAAUGUACCUCCCCCCCAAUCGAUACUGAGACCUAGGCGUCUUUCGUCUCUGUGCUGACCACGUCUUUAUGAGUCGUAUGGACUUUAUGACUCACGUGCUUAGCCAUAAGCUUUUUCUGCUAGAUAAGAAGACAGCGAGGUUAGCUAUCAAUUUCAACUGUGACUUAAGAGUACUCACUACCUUCCCGAGAAGAUCUGUCAAAAACCCAAAGAGGCGGCCG
This 565-nucleotide long non-coding RNA is filed under the name Rattus norvegicus (Norway rat). RNAcentral describes it as "long non-coding RNA NONRATT025712". The record is from RNAcentral. Lineage: Eukaryota; Metazoa; Chordata; Mammalia; Rodentia; Muridae.